RNAcentral lists this long non-coding RNA (753 nucleotides) under Ananas comosus (pineapple). Its description in RNAcentral is "long non-coding RNA (ACOM_LNC022820)". Lineage: Eukaryota; Viridiplantae; Streptophyta; Magnoliopsida; Poales; Bromeliaceae. The record is from RNAcentral.
ACAUGCCUUAAUUACCAUAUCAUGCAUAACUAGUACGCGUUUGGUUCGCACUAUAAAAGAUUACUAAAAAUAAAAAGAUGUCUGAGAAUCUUAUUCUAAUUAAUUCUAUUACUAAGAAUAUAGCAUUCCUGUGUUCGGUUCGCACAGUUAUAUUAUUUAGUCAUAUUAUUUAAGAUUACAAAAAAUAUACAAUUUAUUUAUUUAUUUAUUUAUUUAAUUUUAGAUAAUGUUAUCAAAAAUUUCAACAUCUUUUUAGAAAACAGGAAGAGAGAAUAUAGGUUAGAGAGAGAGAGCAUAAUUAAAGAAUUAGGAAGAGAAAUAGAAUUGAGAUUAGAGGGAGUGAGAGAGUUGAGAUUUUAGAGAACGAGAGGGAGAGAGAGCUUAGUUUAGAGAGAGAAAAACAGUUGAAGUUUAGAGAAAGAUAUGAGGUUAGAGCGUAAAGGAAAAUAAUACUAACUAGCUGGCGGGUAGGGAGAAAGAAAAAGAUUAGACAUAUUAUGAUUACUCCAAUCCAUUAAUAUGAGGAUACCCACCCUCCUUCAAGAAAAUGAGAUUAGUACUUUGGGAUGAAUCUCAUUCCCAAGUAAAUCUAAUAUUACCAACUAGAUUACUUAGUACGUUUAGCCAAAUAUCCUUAUAUUUUUUUAUUCCUAUUGGAUUAUUAGGAAUCUUAAAAAGAUAGCACGAACCAAACGCACCCGUAAAGUUAUCCGCGCAUUGCUGCGAACUUAUACUAUAGAAGACAUAAGAUUA